This 253-nucleotide ribosomal RNA is filed under the name uncultured prokaryote. RNAcentral's name for it is "partial 16S ribosomal RNA". It matches the Rfam family "Bacterial small subunit ribosomal RNA", at positions 524 to 776 of the family's 1533-position model. The record is from RNAcentral.
UACGGGGGGGGCAAGCGUUGUUCGGAAUUACUGGGCGUAAAGGGCUCGUAGGUGGCCAACUAAGUCGGACGUGAAAUCCCUCGGCUUAACUGAGGACGUGCGGAAGAAACUGCAAGGCUCGAGUCCGGGAGAGGGGGGUGGAAUUCCCAGUGUAGCGGUGAAAUGCGUAGAUAUUGGGAGGAACACCGGUGGCGAAGGCGGCCCCCUGGACCGGUACUGACGCUGAGGCGCGAAAGCGUGGGUAGCAAACGGG